This 474-nucleotide ribosomal RNA is filed under the name uncultured bacterium. RNAcentral describes it as "bacterial SSU rRNA". It matches the Rfam family "Bacterial small subunit ribosomal RNA", at positions 328 to 793 of the family's 1533-position model. The record is from RNAcentral.
CGCUAUCACUCCUACGGGGAGGCAGCAGUAGGGAAUCUUCACAAUGGGCGCAAGCCUGAUGGAGCAACACCGCGUGAGUGAAGAAGGGUUUCGGCUCGUAAAGCUCUGUUGUUAAAGAAGAACACGUAUGAGAGUAACUGUUCAUACGUUGACGGUAUUUAACCAGAAAGUCACGGCUAACUACGUGCCAGCAGCCGCGGUAAUACGUAGGUGGCAAGCGUUAUCCGGAUUUAUUGGGCGUAAAGAGAGUGCAGGCGGUUUUCUAAGUCUGAUGUGAAAGCCUUCGGCUUAACCCGGAGAAGUGCAUCGGAAACUGGAUAACUUGAGUGCAGAAGAGGGUAGUGGAACUCCAUGUGUAGCGGUGGAAUGCGUAGAUAUAUGGAAGAACACCAGUGGCGAAGGCGGCUACCUGGUCUGCAACUGACGCUGAGACUCGAAAGCAUGGGUAGCGAACAGGAUUAGAUACCCUGGUAG